GUCGAGCGAUGAAACUUUAACAGAACCCUUCGGGGCGAAGAUAAGGUGGAUUAGCGGCGGACGGGUGAGUAACACGUGAGUAACCUGCCUUAGACAUUGGGAUAGCCUCGGGAAACCGGGAUCAAUACCAAAUAAAAUCAUAAUGACACAUGUCAUAACGAUCAAAACUCCGGUGGUCUAAGAUGGACUCGCGUCCCAUUAGCUAGUUGGUAGAGUAAAAGCCUACCAAGGCGACGAUGGGUAGCCGGCCUGAGAGGGUGAACGGCCACAUUGGAACUGAGAAACGGUCCAAGCUUCUACGGGAGGCAGCAGUGGGGAAUAUUGCACAAUGGAGGGAACUCUGAUGCAGCGACGCCGCGUGAACGAAGAAGGCUUUCGAGUCGUAAAGUUCUUUUAUAUGGGAAGAUAAUGACGGUACCAUAAGAAAAAGCCCCGGCUAACUACGUGCCAGCAGCCGCGGUAAUACGUAGGGGGCUAGCGUUGUCCGGAAUCACUGGGCGUAAAGGGUUCGCAGGCGGAAAUGCAAGUCAGAUGUAAAAGGCAGUAGCUUAACUACUGUAAGCAUUUGAAACUGCAUAUCUUGAGAAGAGUAGAGGUAAGUGGAAUUUUUAGUGUAGCGGUGAAAUGCGUAGAUAUUAAAAAGAAUACCGGUGGCGAAGGCGACUUACUGGGCUCAUUCUGACGCUGAGGAACGAAAGC
Molecule: ribosomal RNA, 699 nt
Filed under: uncultured Eubacteriales bacterium
Lineage: Bacteria; Bacillati; Bacillota; Clostridia; Eubacteriales
Description: bacterial SSU rRNA
Rfam family: Bacterial small subunit ribosomal RNA
Source: RNAcentral